This 97-nucleotide microRNA precursor is filed under the name Pelobates cultripes (western spadefoot toad). Lineage: Eukaryota; Metazoa; Chordata; Amphibia; Anura; Pelobatidae. The record is from RNAcentral.
AUGAAUGUUUCAGUCCCAGCAGGGACUUUCAUCAGGAUCAGGCAUAAAGUUACUUUAUGCCUGAUCCUGAUGAAAGUCCCUGCUGGGACUGAAACGU